GAAGUGAGUUGGACGGUCGCUGCUGUGGAGGUCUUCGUGACUAAAGCAGGGGAGGAAAGUCCGGGCUUCAUAGGGCAUGGUGCCAGGUAACGCCUGGGCGGUGAAAGCCGACGGAAAGUGCAACAGAGAGCAGACCGCCAGCUUGCUUAGGCAGGUUGGUAAGGGUGAAAGGGUGCGGUAAGAGCGCACCGCGUGUCUGGUAACAGGUCACGGCAUGGUAAACCCCACCAGAAGCAAGACCAAAUAGGAAUCCCUUGGCGUGGCCCGCGUUGGAUUCGGGUAGGUUGCUUGAGCGUAUUGGUGACGAUACGCCUAGAGGAAUGAUCGUCCUCGACAGAACCCGGCUUAUAGACUCACUUCAAGC
Molecule: non-coding RNA, 364 nt
Organism: Alkanindiges sp.
Lineage: Bacteria; Pseudomonadati; Pseudomonadota; Gammaproteobacteria; Moraxellales; Moraxellaceae
Source: Rfam